RNAcentral lists this ribosomal RNA (494 nucleotides) under uncultured bacterium. Its description in RNAcentral is "partial 16S ribosomal RNA". It matches the Rfam family "Bacterial small subunit ribosomal RNA", at positions 28 to 504 of the family's 1533-position model. The record is from RNAcentral.
GAUGAACGCUGGCGGCGUGCCUAAUACAUGCAAGUCGAGCGAACAGACGAGGAGCUUGCUCCUCUGACGUUAGCGGCGGACGGGUGAGUAACACGUGGAUAACCUACCUAUAAGACUGGGAUAACUUCGGGAAACCGGAGCUAAUACCGGAUAAUAUAUUGAACCGCAUGGUUCAAUAGUGAAAGACGGUUUUGCUGUCACUUAUAGAUGGAUCCGCGCCGCAUUAGCUAGUUGGUAAGGUAACGGCUUACCAAGGCAACGAUGCGUAGCCGACCUGAGAGGGUGAUCGGCCACACUGGAACUGAGACACGGUCCAGACUCCUACGGGAGGCAGCAGUAGGGAAUCGUCCGCAAUGGGCGAAAGCUUGACGGAGCAACGCCGCGUGAGUGAUGAAGGUCUUCGGAUCGUAAAACUCUGUUAUUAGGGAAGAACAAAUGUGUAAGUAACUAUGCACGUCUUGACGGUACCUAAUCAGAGAGCCACGGCUAACUAC